Non-coding RNA from Myotis lucifugus (little brown bat), 65 nucleotides. NCBI's taxonomy places the organism in Eukaryota, Metazoa, Chordata, Mammalia, Chiroptera, Vespertilionidae. The record is from Rfam.
GCUGCUCAGUGGUUGAGCGUCAGCCUAUGAAUCAGGAGAUCUGGGUUCGAGUCCCAGUCAGGGCA